RNAcentral lists this ribosomal RNA (272 nucleotides) under uncultured Flavobacteriaceae bacterium. RNAcentral's name for it is "partial 23S ribosomal RNA". It matches the Rfam family "Bacterial large subunit ribosomal RNA", at positions 1 to 296 of the family's 2925-position model. The record is from RNAcentral. Lineage: Bacteria; Pseudomonadati; Bacteroidota; Flavobacteriia; Flavobacteriales; Flavobacteriaceae.
AAUAAGCUAUUUAAGAGCGUAAGGUGGAUGCCUUGGCUCUCAGAGGCGAUGAAGGACGUGAUAAGCUGCGAUAAGCUACGGGGAUUGGCACACACAAUUUGAUCCGUAGAUUUCCGAAUGGGGCAACCCACUAUAUUGAAGAUAUAGUAUCCGUUAAGGAAGCAAACCCAGGGAACUGAAACAUCUAAGUACCUGGAGGAAUAGAAAACAAAAGUGAUUCCGCUAGUAGUGGCGAGCGAACGCGGAACAGCCCAAACCAAAAUUGUUUCGGC